GGGGCCAGACGAACAGGUGGAUCACUGGCCUGCAGAGGGCGCUCCGGUGCUGGACGGAGCAAAUUCCAUGAGUCACCAGCAGGAGGCGCCGCAGGGAUAGUCCUGGGAAAACUGAAAACUAAGGGUUGCCAGAAGAAAACAUGAAGGAAACUUUCAGCUGUGAUGAUUGGGAUCAUACUAACCCUGUGAAAGUCUGUAUGGUAUUGUCUGGUAUAUUAUGCUGCUCCUGGGAUUUGGAAACAAUGUAUAUAACAAUGGUUCUGAAGUAACAAAUGAAAGUGUUACAUACAAUGCUACAGAAAUAAACUGCAAGCAACUUUUCAGUUCAUGAUUUUUGCAAUGUAAUGCAUCCUGGGAGAGUUGUUUUAGAAGUGAACUCUGAAAGUUUAACACUGAACUCUAGAGUAAGAAACAACAAACAUUUCACAUUUCUGAUACUGGAUUUUAAUUGUGUUUUGUGAGAUAUUAAAAAAAUACUUUGUGCCUUUUUA
Molecule: long non-coding RNA, 491 nt
Organism: Mauremys reevesii (Reeves's turtle)
Lineage: Eukaryota; Metazoa; Chordata; Testudines; Geoemydidae
Exons: 2
Source: RefSeq, a predicted model, not a curated record